This 498-nucleotide ribosomal RNA is filed under the name uncultured bacterium. Its description in RNAcentral is "partial 16S ribosomal RNA". It matches the Rfam family "Bacterial small subunit ribosomal RNA", at positions 28 to 523 of the family's 1533-position model. The record is from RNAcentral.
GAUGAACGCUAGCGGCAGGCCUAAUACAUGCAAGUCGAACGAGAUUAAGGACUUCGGUCUCUAUGAAAGUGGCGCACGGGUGCGUAACACGUAUGCAACCUACCUUCAAUUGGGGGAUAGCCUUCCGAAAGGGAGAUUAAUACCGCAUAAAACAGCAGAAUGGCAUCAUUUAACUGGUAAAACUCCGGUGAUUGAAGAUGGGCAUGCGUUGCAUUAGCUAGUUGGUAAGGUAACGGCUUACCAAGGCUACGAUGCAUCGGGGAUCUGAGAGGAUGGUCCCCCAUGCUGGUACUGAGAUACGGACCAGACUCCUACGGGAGGCAGCAGUAAGGAAUAUUGGUCAAUGGACGCAAGUCUGAACCAGCCAUGCCGCGUGCAGGAUGACGGCCCUAUGGGUUGUAAACUGCUUUUGUCAGGGAAUAAAUCAUUUUACGUGUAAGAUGUUGAAGGUACCUGAAGAAUAAGGAUCGGCUAACUCCGUGCCAGCAGCCGCCGUAA